This 612-nucleotide long non-coding RNA is filed under the name Helianthus annuus (common sunflower). Its description in RNAcentral is "hypothetical non coding rna". Lineage: Eukaryota; Viridiplantae; Streptophyta; Magnoliopsida; Asterales; Asteraceae. The record is from RNAcentral.
UUUCUCUGUAAAUUCUCAUCUUCAUCUCUCCCUCUCAUCUUUCUUUCUCUCUCUAGACCACCAUUAACACCACCACUGUCACCACCACAGCCACAACCACAACCACCUCCGUCUCCAACCAUCACCUCAACCACAAACCUCCAGCACACUCUGUCUCUCUCUCUCUAAAUCCUCACAGUCCUCCUCUCCCUUCAAGUAAACAGCCGGCCACCACCAUUUGGUGGCGACGCACAGCGACAAGCAAGUUAGAGAGAGGGAACAGUUAGAGAGAGAGAGAUCGAGGAGAAGCUGAACUCCGAGAUAUCACAGUGUGACUGUGGCCACCGGAGCUCCGAACUGGGCUGAAGCAGUGGCGGCGGGCAAAAUCCCAGAUCUUUUGAUUGGAGCGUGAAGCGGUCAUUCCAAUUUUGAAGCCCAGACUCGUCAUGUCUCUGGCCAAUUUAACCGGUAAUCAGAUCAAAUUUAUGCUUUUUAUUCUGUAACACUUGUUGACUGCAACCUGACGAUGUUCCCUAAGUCAAUUCUAUGUUUAAAUUGUUCUGUUGGUUUCUAGGUGUUCAAUUUUGGAUUAAUAUGAGCAUUGGUUGUGUUUGGAGGUGGCGGUGGGGAUGA